RNAcentral lists this ribosomal RNA (225 nucleotides) under uncultured bacterium. RNAcentral describes it as "partial 16S ribosomal RNA". It matches the Rfam family "Bacterial small subunit ribosomal RNA", at positions 568 to 793 of the family's 1533-position model. The record is from RNAcentral.
CAUGCAGGUGGUUUGUUAAGUCAGAUGUGAAAGCCCGGGGCUCAACCUCGGAAUUGCAUUUGAAACUGGCAAACUAGAGUACUGUAGAGGGGGUAGAAUUUCAGGUGUAGCGGUGAAAUGCGUAGAGAUCUGAAGGAAUACCGGUGGCGAAGGCGGCCCCCUGGACAGAUACUGACACUCAGAUGCGAAAGCGUGGGGAGCAAACAGGAUUAGAUACCCUGGGAG